This 353-nucleotide ribosomal RNA is filed under the name uncultured bacterium. RNAcentral describes it as "bacterial SSU rRNA". It matches the Rfam family "Bacterial small subunit ribosomal RNA", at positions 32 to 361 of the family's 1533-position model. The record is from RNAcentral.
AAUCAACGCUGGCGGCGUGCCUCAGACAUGCAAGUCGAACGCGAAAUUCUCCUUCGGGGAAGAGUAGAGUGGCGCACGGGUGAGUAACACGUAGGUAAUCUACCUCUGGGUGGGGAAUAACAGCCGGAAACGGCUGCUAAUACCGCAUAAUGCAGCGGCACCAUAAGGUGACAGUUGUUAAAGCGGGGGAUCCUGAAAGGGACCUCGCGCCUGAAGAGGAGCCUGCGGCAGAUUAGCUAGUUGGUAGGGUAAAGGCCUACCAAGGCGACGAUCUGUAGCCGGCCUGAGAGGGCGGUCGGCCACACUGACACUGACAUACGGGUCAGACUCCUACGGGAGGCAGCAGUCGGGAA